UGUGAGCUUUGGAAUUGAGUAUUCUUGAAUGUUUUUGAUGGCAUCGAGAGGGAGAAGAAGAUGACAAUUUGUUUAGCGAAUCAGGUAAUAUAGGAGGAUUUAGUUCGUGAUCCGAAUUUAGGAGCUAAUCAAAUCAAUUUCAGCAAACCCAUUUCCGAUUAUGUUGUAAAUCAAUCUCAUUCUUCCGGGAAUCCAAUGUUUGUAACUGAAUGCAGUCCUUUUUCGGGUUUCAACAGAUUCUGCCUCCUCGAGCUGAGAAUUUGUUCGCUUAAUCGCAUUUCAAUCGGAAUGUGUUAAAUUUUCAAUACCCUGUAGCAUACAAAAGAACUUUUAUGAAAACAGGGAAUGAAGAGUGAAUCAGAUUCAUGUUGUGAUUUUAAAAGAAAAUAACCAUUUAGAAUUUGCUUUUGGAAACAAAAACCCUGGAUAAACUCAAAGAAAAAACAAAUUACUUUGCAAGCAGAGAAGGAAGCAGACUCGUUUCAAGAAGCAAAAAAUCUAACCUUCAUGUAGGUGUCUUUGAAGGUAGCAGCGAUUUAGCAAAACAAAAACCACACCAGGUUGUACUGCAGCAGCAGUUGAGAGAGAGAGAGAGAGAGAGCGAGAGAGAGAGAGAGAGGGACCCGUUGCAUAUUAAUUUUUAUUAUUUAUUUAAAAAAAGUAAUAAAAACCUCAAAAAUAGUCCCUGGGUAGUGAAAUGACAAAAAUACCCCCUACUUAACGGCUAAAUGGGAACAGAGUGAGCCGGAAGGACCAAAUGUUAAAAGUUUUGAAACCACAGGGACCAUCUGUGAGGUUUUUUGAACUUAAGGAUUAAACUUGAUAUUUUCGAAAAUCACAGGGACCAUUUUUGAAGUUUUGUCUUCAAUCAAAUUUAUGUUGUAUGUAUUUGAGUAAAUUACAUGGACAGUCCUUGUGGUUUGGGGUAAUUUGCAUGUCUGGUCCCUAGCUUUUUAUUUUAACUCUCGGACGAUCCCUAGAAUAUUAUUUUGUUGUGCAUUGGCUCCCUCGUAGACAUAAAAAGACUAAAUUGCCUUUCUUUUUCAAAUGGCUUAGACUUGGAGACGAUGAGGUAUGUCACUUUGAGCGGGUGGCCUGGAUAAGAAUAGAGGGACUCCCUCUCAAAAUGUGGUGUAAAUCAAAUUUCAUCGCCAUCAUUGGGAGUUUGGGCAAAAUUAUGGCUCCCUUUGAUGGAAUUAGAGAUCAAGUAGACUUUUCUUGCAUCAAAAUUGGUUUACUCACUAGUAUCAAGAAGAAAUUAAACGAAGAAGUCCAAGUUAUCAUAGAUGGAAAAACCGUCUCGGUGGGGGUGGUAGAAUACGAAGAUGAACCCUGGUUCUCGUUUAAGUUCGAUUCUGAUGAACAACCUUUCGAAUCUGACAUAGAAGUCAUGGAGAUGAAUAACACAGAAAGACGGUGAAUAUGGUGGAGAGGACCAUGUCUACGACACCUGGAUAAAUGAUGUCGAAGAUGGAGAAAUUAUAGAGGUAAAUGAGAAAAACAUCUCUUCGUCCAAACACAAUCAAGCAAACAACCACUUUCCAGCGGAGGACGGAAUAACUCCGACAAUCGGAACUACAGAACCUCAAGGGACGAUGGGGAUGCCCAAGGCGGUGGCAGGGGAAUCGUCACCAUUAAUAAAAAAAAGAUUUUAACGGUUUCGGAACUAAUGAUCUUGAAAAAGAGAAUAUUAACCAUGCCGACAAAGAGAGGUUACGUUUCAAUAAAAAUCCGGAGGAUUCAAACAAUAUGGAGCAUCAAAAUAGAGCCACUACUAAUCUCAAACCCUUACCAUCUGAAUUUUCCCAUUGGGGAUGUUUUGGGCCUUUUCCCUCCACUGUCGUAAAUGCACAGAAUGAAAACCCAAAAUUUAUUGAUUUAAACCAAACAAAUAAGUCUGGAUGCUCUUCAGUAAAGCAGCGUCGACUGCUAAAUUCCUCACUCGAUAUUCCUAGGAUGACUCCCCUCAUAGAUGAAACUACAUCUACUACAAAAGAUGAUUGUGAAAUUAAUCAUGACUCGUAUUCCUUGCAAUUCUCCUUACGUAUAGUGGUUGCUCAUCCGCCCCGUCCAUGGAUCUUAAUCUCAACACUCUGCCUCGCUCUUCCAAUACUCUUGAGGUUGCCGUUUCCGAAUCUUCCUCUUCGGUAAACGAAAUUGAUGCAACAGCAGUAGUUGGGUCCAUGCUUGGUUUUGAAAUGGAAGCUAGUAAUCCUUUGCUAGCUGAGAUUCUUGGAGAAUACGGUGAGAAAAAAGAUCCUCAAUGAAUUUCUUAACCCUAAAUGUUUGAGGAAUUUGAGAGAAUCAUAAAAUAGAAUGGGUAAGACGACCAAAAUUAAAGCACAAAAUUACAUUCCUUGCUGUUCAAGAAACUCCACUAUUAGAUGCAGACCUAAUCGACGUAGCUGAAUGUUGGGGAUCUAACGAUUUUGGGGAAAACAGGGUAAAUUCAACUGGAAGGUCUGGCGACCUGAUAAGUGUUUGGGAUAACAAGAUGUUUAGCUCAACUGAGGUUAUUUCCUUCGGACAUUAUUUGAUUAAUAUUGGCACAUGGAUUGGCGUUAAUUGUCCGUUAAUUUUCGUUAAUAUUUAUGCAACACAAUCUACAACUGAUAAAGCUGCACUAUAGGGCGAACUUAUGAGCAUCAAAUUAGCGAAAUAUGGUAUCUGGAUCAUGUUGGGAGACUUUAAUGUCGUUCAAAGGCCAAUGAAAGAUUUAACUCCAUCUUUUUCACUAGAACAGCUAGAGAUUUCAAUCACUUCAUCCUGGAGACAGGACUUACAUAUUUGAAAAUAGGGGAUCACCAUUUUACCUGCUUUAGGAAUGAAAAUCUUAAACUCAGCAAACUAGAUCGGUUUCAUGUUUGCCCAUGCCUCCUUGAUAUUAUUCCCUCGGUGUCAGUUACUACCUUGCCGAGGGAGCUCUCUGAUCAUUGUCCAGUUCUCCUCUCUUCCUCUGAAUGAGAUUUUGGUCCCUCACCUUUCAGACUUUUCAACUCAUGGAUGAUACGAGAUGGUUUUAAAAAGGCUUUCAUCACAGCCUGGAACAGCUUUUGCAGGUUAUGGUACCCCUGAUUGCUACUUGGCAGCCAUGCCUGGAAUAGCUUUGCAGGUUAUGGUACCCCAAUAGAAGAAAUGGAAUCAAAAAAUCUCAUAGAUGUGAUGGUUCAUUUGGACUCUAAAGGUGAAAUCAGAUUGUUGAAUCAAGAUGAAAUCGAGACAAGACGAAAUGGUUAUCAAAGAAUUGUUAAACUCGAAAAAUGAGUUGUUCUUGAUGUGAAACAAAAAGCAAUAAUUAAAUGGGUCAUCGAUAGGGAUGAAAACUCUAGAUACUUUUAUGGGUUUGUCAAUAACAACAACCGAAAGAAUAGAACUAAUGGUCUUA
Molecule: long non-coding RNA, 3385 nt
Filed under: Lactuca sativa (garden lettuce)
Lineage: Eukaryota; Viridiplantae; Streptophyta; Magnoliopsida; Asterales; Asteraceae
Description: long non-coding RNA (LSAT_LNC003511)
Source: RNAcentral